ACCUGUCUCACAUUAAGCAAGGCCGGAGGGGCCCUAUGGGCCCACCAGGAGCACCAGGAAGACACGGCUCCAAGGGGGAGAGAGGAGCACCUGGGCCCCCAGGGU
Long non-coding RNA from Onychomys torridus (southern grasshopper mouse), 105 nucleotides. RefSeq lists it as uncharacterized. NCBI's taxonomy places the organism in Eukaryota, Metazoa, Chordata, Mammalia, Rodentia, Cricetidae. The transcript is spliced from 3 exons. The record is from RefSeq and is a predicted model, not a curated record.